CCUACGGGUGGCAGCAGUGAGGAAUAUUGGUCAAUGGGCGCGAGCCUGAACCAGCCAAGUCGCGUGAGGGAAGACGGUCCUAUGGAUUGUAAACCUCUUUUGUCGGGGAGCAACAGACGCCACGCGUGGCGUUCCGAGAGUACCCGAAGAAUAAGCAUCGGCUAACUCCGUGCCAGCAGCCGCGGUAAUACGGAGGAUGCGAGCGUUAUCCGGAUUUAUUGGGUUUAAAGGGUGCGCAGGCGGAAGGUCAAGUCAGCGGUAAAAUUGAGAGGCUCAACCUCUUCGAGCCGUUGAAACUGGUUGUCUUGAGUGAGCGAGAGGUAGGCGGAAUGCGUGGUGUAGCGGUGAAAUGCAUAGAUAUCACGCAGAACUCCGAUUGCGAAGGCAGCAUACCGGCGCUCAACUGACGCUCAUGCACGAAGGUGUGGGUAUCGAACAGGAUUAGAUACCCCAGUAGUC
RNAcentral lists this ribosomal RNA (459 nucleotides) under uncultured bacterium. RNAcentral describes it as "partial 16S ribosomal RNA". It matches the Rfam family "Bacterial small subunit ribosomal RNA", at positions 338 to 795 of the family's 1533-position model. The record is from RNAcentral.